GAAUCUUGCACAAUGGAGGAAACUCUGAUGCAGCGACGCCGCGUGAGCGAAGAAGCCUUUCGGGGUGUAAAGCUCUUACGCCAGGGACGAUAAUGACGGUACCUGGAGAAGCAGCUGCGGCUAACUACGUGCCAGCAGCCGCGGUAAUACGUAGGCAGCAAGCGUUGUUCGGAAUUACUGGGCGUAAAGGGUGCGUAGGCGGCGCUCUAAGUUUGGUGUGAAAUCUACCGGCUUAACUGGGGGGGUGCACUGAAAACUGGGGCGCUCGAGUAGGGGAGAGGAAAGCGGAAUUCCUGGUGUAGCGGUGAAAUGCGUAGAGGUCAGGAGGAACACCUGCGGUGCAGACGGCUUUCUGGACCAUCACUGACGCUGAGGCACGAAAGCGUGGGUAGCAAACA
RNAcentral lists this ribosomal RNA (398 nucleotides) under uncultured bacterium. Its description in RNAcentral is "bacterial SSU rRNA". It matches the Rfam family "Bacterial small subunit ribosomal RNA", at positions 359 to 774 of the family's 1533-position model. The record is from RNAcentral.